UGUGUGUGUGUAUGUAAUAUAUCUUUUCUGAGAUGGAGUGAUCUGAACUGCACCCAGUAUUCAAGGUGUGGGUGUCCUGUAAAUAUAUAAGUGGCAUUAUGAUAUUUUCUGUUUUAUUAUCUAUCCCUUACCAAAUGGUUCCUAACAUUCUGUUGGCUUUUUUGACUGCCACUGCACAUUGAGCAGAUGUUUUCAGAGAACUAUCCAUGAUGACUCCAAGAUCUUUCUUGAAUGAUAAUAGCUAAUUUAGACCCUGUCUUUUUGUAUGUGUAAUUGGAACUACAUUUUCCAAUGUGCAUUACUUUGUAUUUAUCAACAUUUUGAAUUUCAUCUGCCAUUUUGUUGCCCAGUCACCCAGUUUUGUGAGAUCCCUUUGUAACUCUUUGCAGUCUGCGUUAGACUUAAUUAUCUUGAGUGAUUUUGUAUCUACAGACUCUUCCACCUCACUGUUUACCCCUUGUCCCAGAACCUUUAUGAGUAUGUUGAAUAGCAAUUGCAGUACAGAUCUGUGGGGCCCCUGCUAUUUACCUCUCUCCAUUGGAAAAACUGACCAUUUAUUCCUACCCUUUGUUUCCUAUCUUUUAACCAGUUACCAGUCCAUGAGAGAACAUUCCCUCUUAUCCCAUGACUGCUUACUUUGCUUAAUAGCCUUUGGUGAGGUACCUUGCCAAAAGCUUUCUGAAAGUCCAAGUAGACUAUAUCUACUGGAUCAUUCUUGUCCGCAUGUUUGUUGACCCCCGUCAAAGAAUUCUAAUAGAUUGGUGAGGCAUGAUUUCUCUUUAGAAAAGCCUUGUUGACUCUUCCCCAAUAUAUUGUGUUAAUCUAUAUGUGUCUAAUUCUGUUGUUUGCUAUAGUUUCAACCAAUUUGCCUGCUACAGAAGUUAGGCUUACCACCUGGUAAUUGCCAGAAUUGCCUCUGGAGCCUUUUUUAAAAAUUUCACUGCCUCAGGAAGUGCAAUCUGUUCUCCAUUUGGGAGCCAUAGAGGAAGUAUCUCCACAAUAUGAAGGCAAAGGAUUUUAUUCCUACUAAUUCUACCUUCAUUCACAAGAGGGAAAGAGGGUUGGCUAACACUCCUCCAGGACUUGAGAAAGCUAACUAAAUUAACCAGGAAGCUAAAGUUCAGAAUGCUUUCACUUUCUUCCAUGAUGCUUUCCCUGGACCUUGGAAACUGGUUCUCUGCCCUUGAUUUACAGGAUAUUUAUUUCAAUGUGGCCAUAAGAAGUAUCUGAGAUUAAUGGUCAGAGAGACUCACUACCAAUGCAGGGUACUUCUCUUUGGCACUUCACUGGCACUGAGAGUUUUUACCAGAUGUAUGUAGUGGUAGCUUCCCUUCUCCGCUUUUUUUGUUCUUUCCUUGUGUGGAUGACUGGCUGGCCUCAGGCCAGCCAAAGGAGCAAGUAAGGUGAGUAUUCUUAGAAUCCAGUCACUGUUCAUUCAUCUGGGACUCAGAAUACAUGCAGAAAAGUCUACUUUAGUCCAGUUCAGAAGAUCAACUUGAUGGGAGCAGUCCUCAGUGCUCCUACAGUGACUGCUUACUGACCUCAGGACAAGUUUCUGUCCAUUGCCAAUAUUUGCAAGAGCCUCAAAAUGAACCCAGGACAAAGGUCCAUUCCUGCCUAUGACUUCUAGGUCAUUUGGCUUCACGAAUGUACAUGCACCCACAUGGCAGCCUUUACCUCAACUGCUUAUACUGGUUCCUCUCUGUUCAGGCACUCUCUGGACAUACUGCUUUGUGAAUCUCAGUGAGUGCUUUCCUCCCUGGAUUGGUGGAUAGAUCCAGAAAAUGUCUGUGCCUGAGUUCUUUUCUCCAAUCCAGAACCAACAAUGACUCUUGUCACAGAUGCCACCACCAUGAGUACUCUUUGAAGACAGAAAUGCUGAACCUCACAUUUCAUAAAUGGGGUACAUCUCUUUGCCUGGUCAGAGGGUUUUCUCUACACCUUUACUCCAAUUCUCUUGAUCCCAAAGUUGAUCAGAAAGCUAAAACAUGACCAGGCAACAUUAAUACUGAUAGUCUCAGCUUGGCCAAGAUAUUGUUGCUAUACAGAGCUCCAAGACCUCUUGAAACAACCUCCAGUAACCAGGCCAUUGAUCAAGAGAUUAUUGUCCUAGAAUCAGGGACACAUUCUACUUCACAAUCUAUAGUCUUCAUAGAAUUAUAGAUGUAUAGGGCUGGAAGGGACCUCAAGAAGCUAUCAUGUCCAGCCCUCUGCGCUGAGGCAGGACCAAGUAAACACAGAUAAUCCCUGAGAGGUGUUUGUCCUACCUGUUCUUAAAAACCUCCCAUGACAUGACAGGGAUUCCACAGCCUCCCUUGGAAGCCUGUUCCAGAGCUUAACUACCUUUAUAGUUAGAAAUAUUUUCCUAAUAUCUAACCUUAAAUCUUCCUUGCUGAAGAUUGAACCCUUAUUUCUUGUCCUACCUUUAGUGGACAUGGUGAACAACUGAUUACAGCCCUCUUUUUAUAACUGCUCUUAACAUAUGUGAAGAUUGUCCCCCCUCAGUUGUCUUUUCUCAAGAUAAAACAUGCAAAGCUACAGAAGGUUAAAAAAAAUCAGCAUGUAGUUAAGGAUCACUUUAACUAAUUACCUACCUCAAGGUGAGGGUCUACACUACAAUAAUCUGUGAGAGUUCAGCCCUGAGACUGGUUACAGUAGAGAGAUUAUCACUAGCGGGGGACCUCAUGGCGCAUAACAGCGACAAUACCCUGCUCUUUCUGCAAUGCUUAAUUUUAUUUUAUUCACUAGCCACACAACAAUAUGCACAUGGGCAGCCUGCAAAGGGCAGACAUUUGUAUUGUUCUCUCUCCCUAUUUGCACCACUCAGACCAUCUGUCAUGGGGAAAUCCAAAGCAUUAGUCAUUACUCUCACCAUCUGCAUUCUCCUCAUCGUCACCAUCACCAGCAGGUGUCAUACUGGUGUCUCCCACAGCUCUUAGGCUGGGUAACAUCUUUUAUAAUGUGUUUGUUGACACCCAUUGGGGUUUAUACGUUUGCAUAGCUGUUUCAAUCCCUUAUCCUUAUUUGAACUGCCACACCCCAUUAAUUUUAGAGUGUCUCACUUUUAAUAGGUUACUUAUGCAUUUACUUCAUAAUCAUUAGCCUUUAUGUAAAUCAGUUGGUAUUGCAUUAUUAUGGCUAAGCGUCUGAUAGUUUUGCUGACACCAAAAGUCUGAAGAGCAACCUGAAAUAUUAAUAGCAGGCGCUAACUGGUGUCUUGCAAAACAUCUAGCAAAUCUAUAUACUGUAACACGCAAGUUUUCUUGUAACUGACAUAGGGUCACUCAUCAGUUACUUAUGCUAACUGUUCUUUAGGUUUAAGGACUUGUUUGGCUUAGCAGAAUAUCUUACAGGCCUUGUGUUGCAGCUCUAAUCAAUACCAACUCCCUCAUGUUUCUUGCCAUUGGCUACACUUUUCUCCAAGGCCACGCUUUUUAAUCCUAUCAUCAUUUUUGUUGCUCUUCCCAGUUUGUCCAUCUCUUUCCUAAAGCGUGGCUCCCAGAAUGGGACAUGCUACUCCUGCUGAGGCCUCAUCAAGGGCUGAGUAGAGUGGGGAAAAAUAACUUCCAUGUCUUUGUAGCAGAGUGGAUCGCUGCUCCUGCCCUGAAGGGGUUAAAAACAGCCUGGGAAAGGGGCUGGGGCUGGAGAAAGCCCUUUUAGGCUGGGCUGAUUGGGGAAGUGGCUGCAGCUGGGGGCCACACCCCAAACUGAGCGACAGGGCCUAAUAAGAAGGCCAGGGAAGCCAAGGGCAGACAGUCUUCCUCUGCCUGUAGAGGGAGAAGGGCCUGGGUGCUGAGAACCAGAGCAGGUACCUAGGGUGAAGCAGUGCUGGGGAAAGGCAGAGGAGCUGGGGAACUCCUGCCUGGAAAGUCCCAGGCUGCGGCCUAGAAUUAGGCCAGGAGAUACUCGGGUUGUAGGGUGCAACCCAGGGGUAGGCCAAGGCAGCAGGUCCAAACCCCUUUGCUGAUGAUGAGUGGCUGAUACUGCAGUCUGCCCCAGGGCAUGGGGCUAGACAAUGACUGGCAGUAGCCUACACUGAAGCAAAGUGGGGAUGGAGGGUGGGGAGUUCCCAGGGAGGGGAAACCCCUAAGGAAAAGGGGUUGCUGCCAGGGGGCAGAACCCCACAUAAAAGGGGCACCAGGGUCCAGGGAGGGACAUGGGGCCUGUAGCAGGAAACAAGGCGGAUCACCGACCUGCAGAGGGCGCUCCAGGCUGGAACCUGAGCUAAUUCCUAAAGCAACCAGCAGGAGGCGCCGCAGGGAUGCAGCUCCAAAGCCUGUGACAGCAAAGGAGUUGAGAGCAGGAAAUUGCCAGGUGGUGGUUUGUGAAAACACAAAUGACGCAACUGACAGAGAUGGAGGUAUUUUUCCCCCAGGCUGGUGAGACACAAAAAGCAGUUAUGGAGAAGCUGCUGGGAAAAGGUGAAUCUGAUCGAAGGUUAAACACACCCAGCCCAGAGAGCACAGAUCACAGCCCUCUAGGGGGUGGGGAAGAACUCAGUGGUGGGAGGAGGAAACACAGGGUAGCCCCAAAAGGGGAGCUGGAUUUUCUGCAUAUGUACAGUCCUGGGGUUGGGCAACUGCUCCCCAAAGGGCCAACCAAUGUGCAGGAUCCCCCUGAACCUUUAUCUUGCCAGACCCUGAGAUAUCAAAAUGCCAGAAACAUGAUUAAAUGAAGAGCCCACACAGAAGGAAACACUGGAGGGAAAGAGAAGCCAGUGAUUGAUUAUAUGGGAAAGACUCAAAGGACACCAUGGAUAAUGAACAAACUAACCUCAAACUACACUAUCGGAACAGAGGGCGUGGUAUCAUAAAGAUACUUGUAAACCCCCAUCUGUGAUAAACAUUUUAGUAUUAAUAUUAAGUUCUGGGAUAAGAAUUUUGAUGCAGGUGUUAAACCUUAUGAUAAUGCUACUUUUCAAUUAAUACCUGUAAACAGGUUUAAAGCUAGUUUGCUGUGUGUGAAUAGGGAAGCUGUGGCACACUGCCUCAUGGCCUUAAUGGCUGGAUGCCAAGAGAACUAUAACACAAACUGACUAACCCUCUUGCAGUAAACUAAGGGGGGAGGUGUGACAUUCUGUACCUUGUGGGAACACCCUACACCCCCAUGUCCAUCCUUAUAAUAUGAUUGUGUGGUAGCUAAUGCGAAGUUUGUCAUGUCGGAUGUCUUCGGAAGGCUCAUGAUGCACUGAGCAUUGUGGUCAUAGUGAUGUUAUAGUAACUGUUGAUACAGUAAUGUGUUAGGUUAUAAUUUCACGUCUAUAGAUGUGAGGCUGAAAAUGUGUUUUCAUGACUUAAAAUAAGCCCAAGCACAAAUUCUCCCAGAGCAGAGGCAGUUCACACCUCAUCAGGGCAUGUAGGGGACAAACCCAGGCCAGCCUCACAGGAACAAAGGAUGCUGGCCUAGGCAGCAACAAAAGAAUCUGUUGGACUCUCAAUUGAGUCACCCCGUUUUACUUUGGACAGUUUGGGACUGCGAGGAGGUAAUGAUCACCUGACUCUGAAGUGGUGGUGGGUGAGGAGAGCCAAGGGGGAAGAGAGAGCAUGAUAAAAAGGAGAGACGUUUGCCAGGCUCUUCCUUUCUCUGCAUCUACAGACCCCACCACACCAAGUGACUGAAGCACUGAUCAAAGGGGAGAGCCUGGCUAAGAGCAACCAGCCAGCCUGUGAUGAGAAGCAUCUAAGUUUGUAAGGGCAUUGAAAGUGUUAAGCUCAGCUUAGAAUGUUUUGCUUUUCUUUCAUCUGAGCAAAUUUACUUAUGUUUUGACUUAUAAUCAUUUAAAAUGUAUCUUUAUAGCUAAUAAAUCUGUUUGUAUGUUCUA
Gopherus flavomarginatus (Mexican gopher tortoise) is the source of this 5821-nucleotide long non-coding RNA. RefSeq lists it as uncharacterized. The transcript is spliced from 2 exons. Lineage: Eukaryota; Metazoa; Chordata; Testudines; Testudinidae. The record is from RefSeq and is a predicted model, not a curated record.